CCGUGAGGGAACGCGCGGUGCUCCGGGGCGGUGGCUGCCCUGAGGGUGCGCACGGCGGCUGCGGCCUCCUGCGGCUGCUGGGGAGCCGCGUCCUGACCCGGGGGCUGCCCUAGGCCGUGGCACAGCACACCGGGAGCGGCAGCGGAGCUUCGCAUUGUCUCCGAGGGUGCAGAGGAAUCCAUCGAAGGCUGAAGAAGCCGUGUGGUUCCACCACUGGCAUGCACCUGGGACUGCACAUGGGCAGGCAGCGGGUGGUUUUGAUCACAUAGAGGUGCCUUACUUCAGAGCUGCCACGAGAUGGCAAAAUACUCCCCUGUAUCCUCUCCAAGCUGGCUUGCCUGCACCACAGGCUGGCGCCGUGCAGGACUACCGGGAAACACAGCUGCAACAGCAGCCGAAUUUCUCUCCCUUCAUCUUAGCUGCUGCUCGGUGUGUGUGCUCGGGGAUGCUUCUGCAAAAAUCUUGGAGGACCAAAGCCUGUCCAUUUUCUCUUGCCCCUGAAGUCCAAGGCAGAGACUAUGACUGCUCACAAGAGAGAUGAAACACUUGAUAGUGUCCCUGCUUAUGACAAGGACCUUGCUCAGUGGCAGCAAGAAGGCAGAAGGAGACCUUCCUCUUUUUAUAACAUGGCCCUUAGCUAACUGAGAAACCUGUUUGAUGUUUCUGCAUUUAUUAAAAGAACUGAGAGCCUCACUCAAGAGCUUUUACUUCUCUAGCCUGUCUUCACUAUUCUCUAUAUCCUCUGUCCUAUACUGCUUUCACAGCUCAAUGCUAGACUAAAUGUCAAGGGUCCUAGAAACAUCUUCAGUUCCACAUUCUGAUGCUGACCUGAAGUCAUGUCAGUGUGAUGGCAGAAGCCACUUUUACCUCUCCCAGAAGUAACACAGAAGUGGCAUUAAAAAAACCCAUAGAGGCUUAAAAAAUGCCUCCUUCUAGUCUAGUGGGAAGGUUCUGGCUUUGGCUGGGGUAGAGCUAAUUUUCUUCACAGUAUUAGGCCAUAAUUUGAAUUUGUGCCGAAAACAGGGCUGAUAACAUAGGGAUGGGAUUUUUUUCUGCUGAGCCAAGGCCUUUGCUGCUCCUUACCUACCCUACCAGUGAGAAGGCUGAGGAUGUACAAGGAAUUGUGAGGGGACACAGCUGGGACAGCUGACCCCAAAUGACCCAAGGGAUAUGCCAAUCCCAUACCUUAUGGUGCCAUGCUUAGCAUAUAAAUCUGGGGGAAGACAAAAUAAGGGGAGGAGGUUCAGAGUCAUGGCGUUUGCCUUGUCAUCUUUGCACAGGAUGGGGCCCUGCUGUCCUGGAGAUGGGUGAACACUUGCCUGCCUAUGGAAAACAAUUAAUGAAUUCCUUGAUUUGCUUUGCUUCUGUGUGUGAUUUACUUUCCCUAUUAAACUGUCUUUACCUUAACCCAUGAGUUUUUUCACUUUUACCCUUCCAAUUCUCUUCCCAAUCCCACCACAGUAGAGUGAGCAAGUAGUUGUGGGAUGCUUAGUUGCUGACUGGGAUUAAGCAUUCCUUCUUUGGACCCAAUGUGGGGCUCAGAAAACUCAGAUUAUGACAGUGUAGAUUGGAAUGUGCUAAGUGAAGCUUUCAGCUGUUAUGGCUGUUUAAUUAUUAAUCAGCAGGCUCUAGUGCUUGCCCACAGGGCUCACUUGCCUGACUGUGUAUUGCAAUCCAGUGCUUGUUGGUGGCUGUUUGCUGUAGUGCUGUGCUGCUUAUCACCUCAUUCUGCUGUACCUGAGAACGUUUUGAUAACAGCCACGGUGUGCCAGGGCUGG
Molecule: long non-coding RNA, 1778 nt
Organism: Oenanthe melanoleuca
Lineage: Eukaryota; Metazoa; Chordata; Aves; Passeriformes; Muscicapidae
Exons: 3
Source: RefSeq, a predicted model, not a curated record